This 253-nucleotide ribosomal RNA is filed under the name uncultured bacterium. Its description in RNAcentral is "partial 16S ribosomal RNA". It matches the Rfam family "Bacterial small subunit ribosomal RNA", at positions 524 to 776 of the family's 1533-position model. The record is from RNAcentral.
UACGGAGGGUGCAAGCGUUAUCCGGAUUCACUGGGUUUAAAGGGUGCGUAGGUUGAUGGGUAAGUCAGUGGUGAAAUACUCCGACUCAAUCGGAGAACUGCCGAUGAUACUAUCCAUCUUGAAUACGGUGGAGGCGGGCGGAAUGCGUCAUGUAGUGGUGAAAUACUUAGAUAUGACGCAGAACAGCCAUUGCGAAGGCAGCUCGCUACACCGGCAUUGACACUGAGGCGCGAAAGCGUGGGUAGCAAACAGG